Lingula anatina is the source of this 598-nucleotide long non-coding RNA. Lineage: Eukaryota; Metazoa; Brachiopoda; Lingulata; Lingulida; Lingulidae. The record is from RefSeq and is a predicted model, not a curated record.
UUAGCAUUGAUCUGCCUCAAAAGUUUUGAUUUUAUUUGGAAUUUUUAGUAAUAAGAUCAUGCAAAAAUUCUGUCUGUCUGAACUGUAGAGCUUAGAAGGCAUUUACUAGGACUUGACAAGAUUGAGAAGCAGUCUCUGAAUUGCUUGGGUUUUUAUUAUUAUCAUGAUCAUUAUUUUAAGAUGCACUGGCAGCAAGGGUCAAAACAGAAUACGAGCAAUUUUUGGACUGCUGAAUCAUAUAUGUCUGUAUUUUUGUUGUAGUUACUAACCUGCUGUCUGACUGUUGAUGUUGUGCAUGUAUGUGUUUAAUCUCUAGGCAAACCAAAAGGAAUAGACAAUCCUGCCUAUCUAAUGGACAGUGGCAAAAUGGACCCAGCUCAGGACAGUGACUUGCCAACUGCUGUUGGUCAUUCGGAAAGUGACCAGUCUGCACUGCUUGGGGACGAUGCUGAGACAGGGAAAGUCAGGCAGCGUGCUGAGGAGGAAUUAAAACAUGAUACUCUUAGAUCAGCUUUAAUGUCACGUAUGUCUUUUUUUUAAUGCACUACAAGGGAUGGUGUUGUACAUAGUGCCUUCAUUGUUUUGUGUCAAAGUACUU